AGAAGAACCAGGGAGAACAAGAAUCAGCAAGCACAAAUCGAAGGAGUCAAGUCACAAACUAGUAGCAUCCGGAUUCUCAUAUUCCAUACUUCACACAUGAACCGUACAGAUCAAUUUGUUUUGGAUCUUAAUUUCUACAUCAUCAGGUGACCAUAUUCCAAUUUUUCUUGUUCCUACGCAGCAAUCGAUACUAACCUGCUGGGCAAUGGCAUCGUAACGAUGGCCAGCGCAACUAUAGCCUUCGGUCUUCGCAGUAAGCUGCCAGCGGCCAUAGAUGCCCCAGACACGGCAGGAGCAUGCAGCGCCCGACAUGCACCCCUCGCCUCCGGAGGGGCUAUGCGAAAGGCAAGCGCGGCGCGCGAUCCCGCGCUCCCCGACGCGGCUCCUUCAGCACGCGGGCGACAUGACGCCAUCCGGCGCGAUGCAGCAAGCAUGAACUCGGCGUUGAUCAGGCCCGCGGGACCGCCCUCCGGCGCACAGAGCAAAGUCUAGCCUGUACGCCGACGGUUUUUGAUCGAAACGUUGUGGCCGCAACUUCCGGCACAGCUCCUAGCGCCAUGCACAGAUCCUCCCGGCGGAAAUGGCUAGAAAAAUUCCCUACGGGAUGUAACCGCACUCGAAAGGUUAACCGCACUUGGGGAUUCUUAUCCAUUGGGUUAUUUAUUGAUUUAGCCCUCUGGCUUGCAGUAUUUUACAGUCAAAU
Molecule: long non-coding RNA, 703 nt
Filed under: Hordeum vulgare
Lineage: Eukaryota; Viridiplantae; Streptophyta; Magnoliopsida; Poales; Poaceae
Description: long non-coding RNA (HVUL_LNC020172)
Source: RNAcentral